AUGGCGACCCCAGACCCCACCAGGAGCGCCCCGCUGCUCUGCUGUGCGCUCCUCUGCCUGCUGCUCGCAGGCUCUGUGGAUGCUGGGGUGAUCCAGACCCCAAGAUAUUACAUCGCCAGUCGCGGGGAGAUGUUGACAGUGGUGUGCGAACAGGACCUGGGUCACGACGAGAUGUACUGGUACCGCCAGGACCCAGGAGGGUCGCUGAGGCUGCUGCACUACAGCAUUAACGUGGACUUUGUGGAAAAGGGGGAGUUGGGCAGUGGGUACCAGGUGUCCCGGAAGGAGAAGAAGAGCUUCCCGCUCACCCUGGAGUCUGCGGUCCCCAACCAGACCGCCCUGUACCUCUGCGCCAGCAGUUAA
Elephantulus edwardii (Cape elephant shrew) is the source of this 363-nucleotide non-coding RNA. The record is from the annotation of a RefSeq genome assembly. Lineage: Eukaryota; Metazoa; Chordata; Mammalia; Macroscelidea; Macroscelididae.